RNAcentral lists this ribosomal RNA (164 nucleotides) under Triticum dicoccoides. Its description in RNAcentral is "rRNA SSU_rRNA_eukarya". It matches the Rfam family "Bacterial small subunit ribosomal RNA", at positions 1238 to 1369 of the family's 1533-position model. The record is from RNAcentral. Lineage: Eukaryota; Viridiplantae; Streptophyta; Magnoliopsida; Poales; Poaceae.
AGCUGUGAAUAGCCAUCGACUACCUGGAAAAGGUAAAAGAAUAGGACCUAUUCUGGGUGAGCUAACUCCAAAAACCCGUCCUCAGUUCGGAUUGCAGGCUGCAACUCGCCUGCAUGAAGCAGGAAUCGCUAGUAAUCGCCGGUCAGCCAUACGGCGGUGAAUCC